This is a long non-coding RNA of Coregonus clupeaformis (lake whitefish), 1569 nucleotides long. RefSeq lists it as uncharacterized. Lineage: Eukaryota; Metazoa; Chordata; Actinopteri; Salmoniformes; Salmonidae. The record is from RefSeq and is a predicted model, not a curated record. The transcript has 3 exons.
UAUUCUACAGAUUUGAUCGAAGGUGUUGUUGAUGGAUGAUUAUGACAUAAUCCCAAACAGUUGGCAUGCAAAUAAACAUUAGCUCCUCAGUCCUUCUCAUUGGGUGUUAGUGGCUGAUGGACGGAUCUAAAGAGGAAAGUGAAAACACAAACUCACACUCUGUCAGCAUCCAGCCGUGGCAAGCAGGCACAUUGUGGAGUAGGCUAUGCAGCCGCGCUAAAGAGUUAUUAAAGUUCUGAGUCUGACAGUCAAAGCUUCCGGAAGGCAUACACACGGAGGAAUACAACUGAAAACAGGGAGGAAAAUCUCACCUCACCGGUAUCUGCUUUCUACACUUUGACUUUGGGACUAUUCUGGAGUGUAGCUAAAUGAAAAGGAGGCGACGUAUCAUAACCAAAUAGACCGCACUAUGGAGAGCAAGGGCAGCCGCUGUAAAAUCGUGGUGGUCGGCGACACGCGAUGUGGCAAAACGGCAUUACUUCAUGUCUUCGCCAAAGACUCGUACCCAGAGAAUUAUGUCCCUACUGUCUUCGAGAACUACACGGCCAGUUUCGAGAUCGAGAAACAGAGGAUUGAGCUGAACAUGUGGGACACAUCAGAACUCAAUAGCGACACAAUAUGAUGGACCAAGAUUCCCUGAAUAUCAAGCAUCAACUUCUGAUCACCUGGUCACCUGACCCCGUGAUAAGACCAAUAAGGUCACCAACGACCUGCUGAUGGCUGCUGAUGCAGACUCCCCCUGUCUCCUGAUCCUUCUGUACAUGAGAGCAGUGUUUCACACUGUCGACCACCCCAUCCUCCUGGAACGCCUCCGGGACACCAUCGGACUGUCUGGAUCAGCUCUGAGCUGGUUCCACUCCUACCUCUCAGACAAGACUGAGUAUGAGUUUUUCAGUGUCCCACAAGGAUCUGUUCUUGGACCCAUCCUGUUUGUCUUGUACAUGCUCCCCCUCGGUCGUGUCAUCAGCCGGCAUGGAAUCUCAUUGCACUGCUAUGCUGAUGACACCCAGCUGUAUGUAAAAGCUUCCCCAUGUCCCUCUGAUGCAUGUGCCCAUCUGAACACCUGCCGUGAGGAGAUAAGGGCAUGAAUGAAGCAAAACUUCCUUCAACUGAACAGCAUCGAAACUGAGGCCCUACUUCCAGGUCCAGCACUCACCAAUAACACACCUCACCAUUGCAGGACAGAACACUCCUCUCUCCCCCUCGGUUUCCAAUCCGUGUGUAAAGCUCCCUGACCUUUGACAGCCACAUCAAACGACUGUGUAAAGCGUCAUUCUAUCACCUCAAGAACAUUGCCAAACUCCGCCCCACUCUCGCUCAGUCUGACGCAGGGAAGCUCGUCCAUGCCAUUAUCUCCUCAAGGCUGGACUACUGCAACACACUCUUCAUCAGGAUCCCUGGCAGGAGUCUCCAGAAGCUCCACUACAUCCAGAACAACGCUGCCAGGAUCCUGAUGAGAGUGCGGAAACACCCUCACAUCAUCCCCCAUCCUGGCAUCUCUGCACUUGGUGUAUUGAUACACCAUCCAACGUGUAAUUAAUAAUUUCACCAUGCUCAAAGGGAUAUUUA